ACCUGAAACCGUGUACGUACAAGCAGUGGGAGCCUCUUAAUGGGGUGACUGCGUACCUUUUGUAUAAUGGGUCAGCGACUUAUAUUCUGUAGCAAGGUUAACCGAAUAGGGGAGCCGAAGGGAAACCGAGUCUUAACUGGGCGUUAAGUUGCAGGGUAUAGACCCGAAACCCGGUGAUCUAGCCAUGGGCAGGUUGAAGGUUGGGUAACACUAACUGGAGGACCGAACCGACUAAUGUUGAAAAAUUAGCGGAUGACUUGUGGCUGGGGGUGAAAGGCCAAUCAAACCGGGAGAUAGCUGGUUCUCCCCGAAAGCUAUUUAGGUAGCGCCUCGUGAAUUCAUCUCCGGGGGUAGAGCACUGUUUCGGCAAGGGGGUCAUCCCGACUUACCAACCCGAUGCAAACUGCGAAUACCGGAGAAUGUUAUCACGGGAGACACACGGCGGGUGCUAACGUCCGUCGUGAAGAGGGAAACAACCCAGACCGCCAGCUAAGGUCCCAAAGUCAUGGUUAAGUGGGAAACGA
Molecule: ribosomal RNA, 524 nt
Filed under: Escherichia coli
Lineage: Bacteria; Pseudomonadati; Pseudomonadota; Gammaproteobacteria; Enterobacterales; Enterobacteriaceae
Description: partial 23S ribosomal RNA
Rfam family: Bacterial large subunit ribosomal RNA
Source: RNAcentral